AUAGUGUGAAUCAUGAAUAGUGUAUUUGUAAAGCCGGAUAUAACGGAGUGAAGUGUGAAAACGGUAUGUAAGAUGAUGUCCUGAGUAUAUUGUGGAAUUGACUUAUUUUUAAACCUUUUUGUUCGCAUGUCUUUUCGACAUUUUCUAUAGACAUUAACGAUUGUGCAAAGAGACCAUGUAAAAAUGGUGGAAGAUGUGUUGAUAAAGUGAAUUCUUAUCAGUGUAUUUGUAAAGUUGGAUAUAAUGGAGUAAACUGUGAGAACGGUAUGUAAGACAAUGCACUGAGUAUAUUGUGGAAUUGAUUUAUUUUUAAACCUUUUUGUUCGCAUGUCUUUUCGACAUUUUCUAUAGACAUUAACGAUUGUGCAAAGAGACCAUGUAA
Molecule: non-coding RNA, 382 nt
Organism: Paramuricea clavata
Lineage: Eukaryota; Metazoa; Cnidaria; Anthozoa; Malacalcyonacea; Plexauridae
Source: the annotation of a GenBank genome assembly